Molecule: long non-coding RNA, 703 nt
Organism: Folsomia candida
Lineage: Eukaryota; Metazoa; Arthropoda; Collembola; Entomobryomorpha; Isotomidae
Exons: 3
Source: RefSeq, a predicted model, not a curated record
UCACGAUUCGGUAUUAAGAUGUUGCGAAAAAUCAAUACCACGAGCUUGUACUUGGAUAGUAUUAAUUUGUAAUACCGAGUUGGUAAAACAUCAAUACUUACUGGUACAGAUUUUAUACCACGUUUACCCAGUCUAAAAUCUGUCCGGUAUAGACUCGUGUGCGGGAUUUGCAAACUACUCACUUGCAGUUGCAAAUCGUCCUCUUUUUAAAAGUAAGUUCUUCUAAAUUAUUUCGGCUGGUGAAUUAAUUGAGGGGAAGAAAUUGACUACAUCCAAUGGAAACUUUGACUCGUUAAAUUUGAUUCUUGUUAAAGGGUAAGCAUAAAUUUAUUCUUUCUUUUCGUUUUAUCUUUUGCUGUGUAUUACAUUAAUAGGGAGGAUUUUAAACCACCAAUUUCGUUAUAUUUUCUGCAUUAUAUUAAUUAACUUAAUUUUUUUUAUUUUGCGCGAGAUCAUCGACUUAACCAAUUCCUAGUUCCGGUCGUGAAUAUAGGAUUCAGGAUAAUUUUAGUGGGACAUUUCCUAUGGAAUUAAGAGGCUUUUAGAUCCAGUCAGCUCAACUUUUCAACAUUAUGGUGUGUAAGCCAGUUUUAUAAUUAAGUUAACUAUAUUGCAUUGGGCUGAUUUCCAUUUUUUUUAAAUAUGUAUGUCAUUUAUAAUGUUGCGACUUGUAAUUUUAUCAAAUAAAUAACGUUAAAAUCAA